This 468-nucleotide ribosomal RNA is filed under the name uncultured bacterium. RNAcentral's name for it is "partial 16S ribosomal RNA". It matches the Rfam family "Bacterial small subunit ribosomal RNA", at positions 28 to 507 of the family's 1533-position model. The record is from RNAcentral.
GACGAACGCUGGCGGCGUGCUUAACACAUGCAAGUCGAACGGAAAGGCCCUGCUUUUGUGGGGUGCUCGAGUGGCGAACGGGUGAGUAACACGUGAGUAACCUGCCCUUGACUUUGGGAUAACUUCAGGAAACUGGGGCUAAUACCGGAUAGGAGCUCCUGCUGCAUGGUGGGGGUUGGAAAGUUUCGGCGGUUGGGGAUGGACUCGCGGCUUAUCAGCUUGUUGGUGGGGUAGUGGCUUACCAAGGCUUUGACGGGUAGCCGGCCUGAGAGGGUGACCGGCCACAUUGGGAAUGAGCUACGGCCCAGACUCCUACGGGAGGCAGCAGUGGGGAAUAUUGCACAAUGGGCGGAAGCCUGAUGCAGCAACGCCGCGUGCUGGAUGACGGCCUUCGGGUUGUAAACCGCUUUCGCCUGUGACGAAGCGUGAGUGACGGUAAUGGGUAAAGAAGCACCGGCUAACUACGUG